CCUACGGGGCGCAGCAGUGGGGAAUAUUGGGCAAUGGGCGCAAGCCUGACCCAGCAACGCCGCGUGAAGGAAGAAGGCUUUCGGGUUGUACACUUCUUUUAAGGGGGAAGAGCAGAAGACGGUACCCCUUGAAUAAGCCACGGCUAACUACGUGCCAGCAGCCGCGGUAAUACGUAGGUGGCAAGCGUUGUCCGGAUUUACUGGGUGUAAAGGGCGUGCAGCCGGAGAGACAAGUCAGAUGUGAAAUCCACGGGCUCAACCCGUGAACUGCAUUUGAAACUGUUUCCCUUGAGGGUCGGAGAGGUAAUCGGAAUUCCUUGUGUAGCGGUGAAAUGCGUAGAGAGAAGGAAGAACACCAGUGGCGAAGGCGGAUUACUGGACGAUAACUGACGGGGAGGCGCGAAGGCGUGGGGAGCAAACAGGAUUAGAUACCCGGGUAGUC
Molecule: ribosomal RNA, 442 nt
Filed under: uncultured bacterium
Lineage: Bacteria
Description: partial 16S ribosomal RNA
Rfam family: Bacterial small subunit ribosomal RNA
Source: RNAcentral